RNAcentral lists this transfer RNA (77 nucleotides) under Mycobacterium sp. Its description in RNAcentral is "tRNA-Leu". It matches the Rfam family "tRNA". From Rfam's summary of the family: Transfer RNA (tRNA) molecules are approximately 80 nucleotides in length. Their secondary structure includes four short double-helical elements and three loops (D, anti-codon, and T loops). Further hydrogen bonds mediate the characteristic L-shaped molecular structure. tRNAs have two regions of fundamental functional importance: the anti-codon, which is responsible for specific mRNA codon recognition, and the 3' end, to which the tRNAs corresponding amino acid is attached (by aminoacyl-tRNA synthetases). tRNAs cope with the degeneracy of the genetic code in two manners: having more than one tRNA (with a specific anti-codon) for a particular amino acid; and 'wobble' base-pairing, i.e. permitting non-standard base-pairing at the 3rd anti-codon position. The record is from RNAcentral. Lineage: Bacteria; Bacillati; Actinomycetota; Actinomycetes; Mycobacteriales; Mycobacteriaceae. RNAcentral also lists the same sequence under 1 other name.
GCCCUCGUAUCCCAAUUGGCAGAGGAAGCGGAUUCAAAACCCGCACAGUGUGAGUUCGAGUCUCACCGAGGGCACCA